RNAcentral lists this ribosomal RNA (253 nucleotides) under uncultured bacterium. Its description in RNAcentral is "partial 16S ribosomal RNA". It matches the Rfam family "Bacterial small subunit ribosomal RNA", at positions 524 to 776 of the family's 1533-position model. The record is from RNAcentral.
UACGUAGGGUGCGAGCGUUGUCCGGAAUUAUUGGGCGUAAAGAGCUUGUAGGCGGUUUGUCGCGUCUGCUGUGAAAAUCCGGGGCUCAACCCCGGACUUGCAGUGGGUACGGGCAGACUAGAGUGUGGUAGGGGAGACUGGAAUUCCUGGUGUAGCGGUGAAAUGCGCAGAUAUCAGGAGGAACACCGAUGGCGAAGGCGGGUCUCUAGUACGGUACUGACGCUGAGACGCGAAAGCGUGGGGAGCGAACAGG